AACACGAUCCAUUUCCAUGUUGGAGACAAUCGUGAACUGAAAUCUUUUUGUCAUUAGCUUGAUUUUAAUUCAGUUUCGCAGUAAAUGCGUAAUAGGUGGAAUAAAUGUGUUCCCCUCCCCUCGUUUUUUGAGGUCAGUGUGGAGGGAGAUAAGCUUCUGUUCAACGAGAUGAGAUGAGAAAUGCAAAGAGCAAAGAGCAAAGCAAAGAGAGCAACGAGCAGUGUAAUCAUCAUAAAAUGCACUCAGAUUUGGGUAAUUGUUGAUAGCAAAAUAAGCAGAACAAGAACAAGUAGAAGCCGAGAGAAAUAAACAAGAGAAGAGAUGUAGAUGGAGAUGGAGAGAGAAGACAAGUAGUAGAAAGAAGACAUGGAGACAACUUCGAUUCCAAUUGCUCGUGUCGCAGAGACGGAGAUGGAGACGGAGACUGAGACGGAGACUGAGACGUAGACAAAGUCGGAGGCUGGGAGAAUACCAAGAAGCGGCCUCGCGAAGUCGCUGCCGCAGUCAACGUUGCGCACAGUUUGCUGUACUUGGGGGCAAUUAAUUCGACAUUUUAAUUUACAUUUCAUGGGAACAUGAAGCAGCCACAGAUUUCAUUCAAUAUGGAAUUACGUUCAAAUAAAAUUGUCUUGCACUUACCGUAUCAAUUUUUGUAUUCCUGAUGAUUUCCACUUCAACUGCAAAGAAAAAAAUGAAAGAAAUGUUAAACGAAAUUUCAAUUUAAU
Long non-coding RNA from Drosophila sulfurigaster albostrigata, 725 nucleotides. RefSeq lists it as uncharacterized. NCBI's taxonomy places the organism in Eukaryota, Metazoa, Arthropoda, Insecta, Diptera, Drosophilidae. The record is from RefSeq and is a predicted model, not a curated record. The transcript is spliced from 3 exons.